RNAcentral lists this ribosomal RNA (393 nucleotides) under Triticum aestivum (bread wheat). Its description in RNAcentral is "partial small subunit ribosomal RNA". The record is from RNAcentral. Lineage: Eukaryota; Viridiplantae; Streptophyta; Magnoliopsida; Poales; Poaceae.
AUGGGGUCCGGCACCUGGCGCAAGGCCUACGGCGCCCUCAAGGACUCCACCAAGGUUGGCCUCGCCAACUUCAACAUCGAGUACAAGGAUUUGGAUAUCGCCAUCGUGAAGACGACGAACCACGUGGAGUGCCCGCCCAAGGAGCGGCACUUUAGGAUGUUUGCGAACUCGGCAAAUCGCCCGCGGGCCGACGUCGCCUACUCCAUAUGUGCAUUGGCCAGGAUGUCCAAGACCAAGAGUUGGAUAGUGGGUUCCUUGUUUGUGUAUCUUGGUAGUAGUUCCUUGUCUGUUUAUCUAUGCCGAUUGAUAAUCCUUGAUUCAAUCAUCUCCACAAGGUACAACACAGAUGAAGGAUUGCUUGGCUGUUCGUGGCGGCCGUCGCCGGCUGGUUGA